CAGCCGCCGCGGGAAUACGAAGGGGGCUAGCGUUGCUCGGAAUGACUGGGCGUAAAGGGCGCGUAGGCGGAUUGUUUAGUUUGGCGUGAAAGCCCUGGGCUCAACCCGGGAACUGCGCUUGAUACUGGUGCGCUUGAAUCCAGGAGAGGUUGGUGGAAUCCCCAGUAUAGAGGUGAAAUUCGUAGAUAUGCGGAGGAACACCGAUGGCGAAGGCAAUCCCCUGGACCUGUACUGACGCUCAUGCACGAAAGCGUGGGGAGCAAACAGGAUUAGAUACCCGCGUAGUCCCUGUCUCUUAUAC
RNAcentral lists this ribosomal RNA (301 nucleotides) under uncultured bacterium. Its description in RNAcentral is "partial 16S ribosomal RNA". It matches the Rfam family "Bacterial small subunit ribosomal RNA", at positions 509 to 807 of the family's 1533-position model. The record is from RNAcentral.